RNAcentral lists this long non-coding RNA (597 nucleotides) under Triticum aestivum (bread wheat). Its description in RNAcentral is "long non-coding RNA (TAES_LNC002371)". The stretch from base 119 to 253 matches the Rfam family "MIR1120/MIR1122 microRNA precursor family". Lineage: Eukaryota; Viridiplantae; Streptophyta; Magnoliopsida; Poales; Poaceae. The record is from RNAcentral.
UUGGAUCGAGCGCUGGUGCUUCUUCUACAUAGUUGAGGAUACACAUAGAAUUAUUCAGUUCCAGACAGUAUGGCAGCUUGGCACUACGAAGGAGCCAUGACUACACCUGUCAACAUGGGUGUUACUCCCUCCGUCCGAAAAUACUUGUCAUCAAAAUGGAUAAAAAGAAAUGUAUCUAAAACUAAAAUACGUCUAGAUACAUCCUCUUUUAUCCAUUUUGAUGACAAGUAUUUCCGGACGGAGGAAGUAUAUUUUUGCGAAUGUCAACACGGCUAUGUGCAGUGUGUGGUUUGGAUCCAUGUGAUUGCAUUUUUUUGGAGCGGUUGUAGUUGCAUGUGGCAAUCCCUAUUCGGCUAUUUCGCUAGCGGCCCGUGAAGCGCGCACCUCCUCUCGUUAGCCGGCCGGCCUACAUAUCUUUUUUUUUCUGAGUUGCUAAAUCACGAAAAUGAAAUUGUGAAUGAUGGGAUUCGAACCGCAAAGCUACAAUUUCAAGAGCAAAGGCAUUUACCAAGUGGACUAGCGUCAUGUUCAUACCUAGUUUGUUUUUGGUAAACCCUUGUGUGCGGCGCGCCGACCGAACUUUCCGCCGGACGCGUC